This is an RNA transcript of Brassica napus (rape), 1965 nucleotides long. RefSeq lists it as uncharacterized. The record is from RefSeq and is a predicted model, not a curated record. The transcript has 4 exons. NCBI's taxonomy places the organism in Eukaryota, Viridiplantae, Streptophyta, Magnoliopsida, Brassicales, Brassicaceae.
AAUCUUUAUUUACAUAUUUUGUUAAACGCUUGCUCUCCCAUCAAGAUCCUGAGAUCCAUAUUCAAUCUUCUGUUUCUCGAGGAGCUUUUGCUUUCUUAGUAAGAUCCGGUUUUGCUAUUAUCGAUCGUAUCAUAGAAAUAUGAUGCAUAUAGACUUUGUUUAUGUGCAAGAUUUUUGUUGUUCUGUAAUGAAAAAUCUAUGAGUGAUGUUUAGAAGAUUAUCUCUUGAAAUAUCAUUGGCACAAGUUCACUCAACUUCGUAAUGAAUUUGAAGAUCAUCAAUCUAAACAUAGAGCCAAUAGGUUUCCCCAAAAGCUCAUUUGGAUCUAGACACAAAGUUUGAUGUAUUUUAUUUAACAAUGGCUAAUAUAGAGUCAAUGACUGUAGUGGAAAAUAUUCACUUUUAGUGGGAAAAGAAUUUAAGCACUUUACUUGUGAUGUUAUACUUCAUGAUAAGAUUAAUAUAUCACUUUUAAAAUUUAAAACAACGAUACAUAAUAUUGGUAUAUAAAUAUAUCAUCUUGAUAUACUUAAUAUUGUUAAUAAUAUGUUUUCUAAAACUUAUAAAUGAGUAAUUUUGACAGAUGAAAGUGUAUAAACAUGUACAACACAACAUGAUCGUCAAUAUUUUAUUUUUUCAAUAUAUAACAUGAAUUAAUAUAAAUGAUCAUAGAUUUAUAAUUAAUUAAAUAUGAUAAUACUUUUUUUUAUCUUAUAGUUACUAUUUUUAAUAAAACUUUCUCUGAUAAAUAUAUAAAUUACAUAGAAAAAUACAUAGAAAUAUGUAUAACAUUAUCUAUGUUCGCCGACACUUUUAAAUUUAUUGAUAUAUUAUUUUAUAGACUUAUAGUUGAUUAAAUACUAGGUUAUACUCCACCUUAUGUAAAAAUAAAACAUUUAAAUUUGCUCUACUAAAAAGGUGUGUGUUUACAUAUACGAACUUAAUAAAGAAAAAUAUGGGCCCAAUUUGAAUAAAGAAAAAUAAAGAAGCCCAGAUAAAAAAGCCUAUAGUUCAUUAGUCAGCUCCGCUUUUAGACUUCCAGUCUCCAUAGAAACAAUGCAGAUCGUCUCAGACUUCUCCUCCGCCUUUCCCCACCCACGCGCUGCCGCAUUAGCCACCACCUCCACAUCCAGUAUCUCAAUUUCACAUUCUCCGGCGAUAAAAUUUCACUCUGCUAACGUAUCUCCAUCCUCGUCACUACUGCUAGCUUCCUCUUCUUCUUCUACUCGUAGAUGUUUCACCUGUCGAUUUGACAACAAUUCUCCGCGGUUUGAUCCGAGCGACGGCGAUUAUUAUAAUGAGACUGAAUCAGAUGAUUGUUUGACCGAAUGCUUGGCAGAUGGGAAGACGGAGGAUGGGGUGGUUCUCAUCUCGGUGGAGAAGCUCGAGAAGAGCUCGCGGCGGAUACGCUCGAAGGUUGGAAUUGAAGCGAGUCUCGAUGCCGUGUGGAGCGUGUUGACUGAUUACGAGAAGCUGUCGGAGUUCAUACCGGGCCUUGUCGUCAGCGAGUUGGUCGAGAAGGAAGGCAACCGUGUUCGUCUUUUUCAGAUGGGACAGCAAAGCAUCGCUUUGGGUCUUAAGUUUAAUGCCAAAGCUGUUCUAGAUUGUUUCGAGAAGGAGCUUGAGAUUCUACCACGUGGGAGGAGACGUGAAAUCGACUUUAAGAUGGUAGAAGGAGAUUUUCAGUUGUUUGAAGGCAAAUGGUCCAUUGAACAAACAAAGGAGAGGCUUCGGAUUUACAGUUUAAAGAUUUUCCGACAACGCUUGCAUACACUGUGGAUGUAAAACCAAAGAUGUGGUUACCUGUACGGCUAGUUGAAGGAAGAUUAUGUAAUGAGAUAAAAACAAAUCUUUUGAGUGUUAGAGAUGCGGCUCAGAAAGUCAUUGAAGGUGUUAUUCAUGAUCUUUGAGUUUUUUUUUCCUAUUAAGACCAAGUUGAAGUAGUGUUUCUACAUACACACGGUA